This 209-nucleotide ribosomal RNA is filed under the name uncultured bacterium. RNAcentral's name for it is "partial 16S ribosomal RNA". It matches the Rfam family "Bacterial small subunit ribosomal RNA", at positions 1292 to 1500 of the family's 1533-position model. The record is from RNAcentral.
UUCGGAUCGCAGGCUGCAACCCGCCUGCGUGAAGUUGGAAUCGCUAGUAAUCGCGGAUCAGCAUGCCGCGGUGAAUACGUUCCCGGGCCUUGUACACACCGCCCGUCACACCAUGAGAGUCGGGAACACCCGAAGUCCGUAGCCUAACAGCAAUGGGGGCGCGGCCGAAGGUGGGUUCGAUAAUUGGGGUGAAGUCGUAACAAGGUAGC